CCAACUGUGUUCCAGUGUUCUUGAUGAACUCAUUUUAAAAUAACAGUCUCGAUCCACUGUACUAAUUCCCUUCAUAAUUUUAAACACUUCACUCAGGUCUCCUCUUCAUCUCCUUUAAAGGCUCAGCUCUUUUCAUUUUUCCUCAUAACUCAUCCCCUGUAGCCCCUCAAUCAGCCCAGUCGCUCUUCUCUGGACAUUUUCUAGUGCUGUUAUGUCCUUUUUGUAGCCUGGAGACCAAAACUGCCUGCAGUACUCCAGAUGAGGCCUCACCAGUGUGUUAUAAAGCUUCACAGAACCUCCUGUGACUUGUACUCCACACAUCAAGGCGCUAUAUAACCUGACAUUCUGUUAGCCUUCUUAAUGGCUUCUGAACACUGUCUGGACAUUGAUAGUGUCAUAAUUUUAAACACUUCAAUCAGGUCUCCUCUUCAUCUCCUUUAAAGGCUCAGCUCUUUUCAUCUUUCCUCAUAACUCAUCCCCUGUAGCCCCUCAAUCAGUCCAGUCGCUCUUCUCUGGACCUUUUCUAGUGCUGUUAUGUC
Erpetoichthys calabaricus (reedfish) is the source of this 539-nucleotide long non-coding RNA. RefSeq lists it as uncharacterized. The record is from RefSeq and is a predicted model, not a curated record. The transcript is spliced from 3 exons. Lineage: Eukaryota; Metazoa; Chordata; Cladistia; Polypteriformes; Polypteridae.